GGCGAACGGGUGAGUAAUGCAUCGGAACAUGUCCAUGUCGUGGGGGAUAGCCCGGCGAAAGCCGGAUUAAUACCGCAUAAGCCCUGAGGGGGAAAGUGGGGGACCGCAAGGCCUCACGCGAUUGGGUUGGCCGAUGUCCGAUUAGCUAGUUGGUGAGGUAAAGGCUUACCAAGGCGAUGAUCGGUAGCUGGUCUGAGAGGAUGAUCAGCCACACUGGGACUGAGACACGGCCCAGACUCCAUACGGGAGGCAGCAGUGGGGAAUUUUGGACAAUGGGGGCAACCCUGAUCCAGCCAUUCCGCGUGAGUGAAGAAGGCCUUCGGGUUGUAAAGCUCUUUUGUCCGGAGCGAAAAGGUUACGGUGAAUAUCCGUGACUACUGACGGUACCGGAAGAAUAAGCACCGGCUAACUACGUGCCAGCAGCCGCGG
This 429-nucleotide ribosomal RNA is filed under the name uncultured bacterium. RNAcentral describes it as "bacterial SSU rRNA". It matches the Rfam family "Bacterial small subunit ribosomal RNA", at positions 97 to 520 of the family's 1533-position model. The record is from RNAcentral.